UGAAUAAAGAUGGUGAUUGUUUUGCGUACUUGAGAGGAAAAUUCCCUGCAAUAAGUGAUGCGAAAUUGAAAGAGGGAAUUUUUGAUGGACCCCAAAUACGAUCUUUAUUUCAGGAUGCAAAUUUUGAAGGAACAAUGAACGACACAGAAAAAGCAGCUUGGAUUCUCAUCUUGACCACUUCCCUGACAAUUGUUGAGACUAUAGUGAAGAACAGGGAGAACGUUUUCACCAAGACAUCAGUGAAAUGGAGAGUAGAUACCAAGGAAAUUGGAGUGUUAACAUGAUGGCAGAUUUUUGUUGGAUGUUAAAAAGAGAAGUACCCGAAGAAAAUCGUAAACGAAAGAGGAAUCCACUACGAAGAUCAUUUGAGGAUAAAAGAGUGCGAUACAAACGAAGGAAAGUUUAGGAUUCGUAAAAAUCAUUUCUUUCUAUCUUUUUAUGUCUUGUGUUUUUCACAGAUUUCAAGUUAUUUGAUAUAUCUACGUUAUAGAGUA
Cotesia glomerata is the source of this 494-nucleotide long non-coding RNA. RefSeq lists it as uncharacterized. The transcript has 2 exons. The record is from RefSeq and is a predicted model, not a curated record. NCBI's taxonomy places the organism in Eukaryota, Metazoa, Arthropoda, Insecta, Hymenoptera, Braconidae.